AACGAACGCUGGCGGCAUGCCUAACACAUGCAAGUCGAACGAGACCUUCGGGUCUAGUGGCGCACGGGUGCGUAACACGUGGGAAUCUGCCCUUUGCUUCGGAAUAACAGUUAGAAAUGACUGCUAAUACCGGAUGAUGUCGAAAGACCAAAGAUUUAUCGGCAAAGGAUGAGCCCGCGUAGGAUUAGGUAGUUGGUGGGGUAAAGGCCUACCAAGCCGACGAUCCUUAGCUGGUCUGAGAGGAUGAUCAGCCACACUGGGACUGAGACACGGCCCAGACUCCUACGGAGGGCAGCAGUGGGGAAUAUUGGACAAUGGGCGAAAGCCUGAUCCAGCAAUGCCGCGUGAGUGAUGAAGGCCUUAGGGUUGUAAAGCUCUUUUACCAGGGAUGAUAAUGACAGUACCUGGAGAAUAAGCUCCGGCUAACUCCGUG
RNAcentral lists this ribosomal RNA (433 nucleotides) under uncultured bacterium. RNAcentral's name for it is "partial 16S ribosomal RNA". It matches the Rfam family "Bacterial small subunit ribosomal RNA", at positions 29 to 507 of the family's 1533-position model. The record is from RNAcentral.